GCAGGAAUGCAUGGGGUCAGGCCGGGACAGAGUAAGUUGGAUCAUUAGGGUUUUGCAUGAAUUUCUUCGGGGAUCCCGGAAGGAUCAGCUGUGAAAGGAACGUGAAUGGGUCCUCCCCUAAAUUGGAUUGGCCGCCGACGAGAAAAUGAAAGACAGGCCCUCGCUACUCAGUUCUACAGUGACCCAUGGAGGCGAAAACAGAAUCCGGAUAUCUCUCACACAAGGAUAUGGAUCUUUUUAUGAUCCGACCCGGCGGUUCCUACAGCAGCAUUCCUCACGUAGCACGGACAAAAGGAGGUUAUACAACCACGACUUUUGUUUAAGAUGUAUUACGGGAACAUAUCUUUCUUGCAAACCGCGGAGUGUGGGAGACUGAGCACCAGUGAAAAGAAAUGAAUUUAGCGGUUAUAUCCUACACAAACCGCUGUUUCCGAGAAAACUACCCUCCUUUCUUACCCCUCAAUUCCGCACUUGCAGAUUCAUUCUUGGUGAAUCGGCUUUGCAGAUUUUUGUUUGCCUCUGUUCUUGAUCAUGGCCGUGAUUUGCAGGUUAUACGUUUUCUAAUUCUAAGAUGUUAAUUUCUCCGGGUUCUAUUUGUGUUUCUCGAGGGUGUGAUGCUGCACUGGCUAAGAAUAAUGAAAGGGCACUUACUGGUGGUGGGUAUGGUCAAUGGGGGGCCUCUUGAUCAGCAAAGGCUUAUGGGUACGAUCAAGCCUAUUGAUGGAAGGGGAGGUCAUCCUUGUGGUUUCUAUGAAGAAGCUUAACAAGGAUGGAUUUCGGGUUUGUCUUGCAUAGUUGCACUACAUAUUUUUUUAACUAUUAAAUUAUUUUAUUUUGUUUUUCAUAUCGGUGGCAGCCAUCUGUUAAGAAGCUUAACAAUGAUGGAUUUCAGGUUUGUCUUGCACAGUUGCACUGCAUAUUGAUCUCUGUAUCGAGGAUAGUUUACACAAAUAUAUAAGAAUGCCAUAGAUAGUUUUUUUUUUUUUUUUUGUGCCACAGAUAGUGUUGGUUUUAAAUAUGAAAAAAAUGUGGAAACAUCUCUUUACGUGCUUUAGGCCUUCAUUUAUUAUCAUUUCUACACAUUGUAUAUAAGCAGUAGAUUCCAAUCAUUUGCAGUCUUUAGUUUUAUUAAGUUUAUAUUGAACUCAAUUAUAAGAAGUUUCAUGAAAUUUUGCCUUUUACCCCACUUUACUUCUCCACAGAACCAUGGGUCAAAUUGUGCAACUUCCACAGGUCAUCCUUCUUUCUCUGUCAAUUUCACUUUUGGCAUUAACGUGACUGCACCCCAGGUUCCUACCCUCCCGUCAGUAGUUUCUUCGUUGUCAAAGGCAAAUGCAAGCUUUAUUCCAACAAUGCUUUUAACAAUGACGAAGCCCUUAUUGCUGAAGCAGUUAGGAUCUUGAAUGAGGGCCGCUUUUAAAAUUAAUCAAAAAGAUGGAAAUUGAUAGGGAAAGAAUUUUGGGAUGGAGUCCCUGUCAAAAAUAUUCUGGAAUAUGCUGUAUUAGGUUCCCUCUCUGAACUGUUAUACAAAUGGAAUCAAAUUGUUUGCAAGAGAGGAAACUUGGAAAAUUCAGAGCCUUCUGAAACUAGGAAGCAGAGCAAGAAAACAGAGACCCAGUCAUUGUCCUCAUGGUAGUUGAGCAUGUUCUGCUGGAAAUGGCAUUGCUUGAGAAAUAGAAAAUGAUGAAAGGAUACAUGAGAUCCUUCUUUCCUGAUUUCCUUUUGGUUUUGCAUGUCAAGUAGCAUUUACACAGCAAUAUCAUCUGUUAUUAGCUUUCUCUUAAAUGUUUUAGAUGUGCUUAUAAGUUUUAUCCUCUAUUUUUGGUUUUUGAAUACGAUGAGCUUUUGAUCAUUAUUGCAAUUGUUAUCCGAUUGAUUCAUUACAUUCCUUCUUUACCUAUUUAAGUUUUUGUUUUGCAGAAUCAUGAAACUGGGACAAAGAGAAGUUACAGAGAACUGUUGAAAAGCGGUGUAGGAAUUAUUAAAAUACAAACUCAUGGGUGGGAACGGGUACCAAAUCUAAUCAUUUGCAUCAAAUUCGAGAGUGAAGCAGUAUGCAAAAAUUUCUUUUCAGGUUUACUUUUCUUUCUUUCCUCAUUCUAUUAUUUCAAUCAAUAUAUUCAUAAUUUCUGCAUACACUAUAUUUUUUGAUUAUAAAUUGUCCCUUCUCUGACCUUUUAUAUAUAUUCUGGCUAUUUUGGUCUUCAUCACACGGUAUCAUUUUCAGUUUGUCUUCCUAUACGUUUGCACACAAUUAAUGAUUUUAAGAAGAUGUUCUUGAUUACUGCUUGAGGUAUUUUGGUCAGACAUGGUGUUGUUCUCUAUUGUCUUAUCAUUAAUGCUCUUAUUGUAGCUUUUAACCUCUGAUUGGACACAUUUGAUAUUCCAGGUUCGCAUAGAUUCCAAUCACAACUCUUGAAGUGAACAGCAAAAUGAAAUGGGUAACUGAUAAUAUUUAUAUAUCAUUUUGUGGUUGCUUUGGUAUAUUUGUAUAUGUUAAUUAUGUUUGUUUUAAUGAUUGGUUCUUACACAAUGUUUUUUUUUUAAAAAGUCGUAAAUAUUAUUAGGAUGCAUUGAAAGAAGGAAAACACAUGGUGAUAUUUUGUGUGCAUUGAUUGCCACUUUUCUAAUUCCUGGAGCCGGGUUUCAUAAAUCGCAUUUCAUGUCUUAUAGAGCAUGUAUCAUGUAUGUAAAUUUUUGAAUUAUAGGUGGUUUCUAACUGUAGAGGUCUUGCUUCUAAACUGAUUGGUCAAGGAUAUGAAUUGGUUUCUGAUGGGAGUGAUCAUCACUUGGUCCUUGUGAAUCUCUGGCCAUUCAAUGUCAAUGGUGCUCAGGUAGAAAAGAUUCUUAACAUGGCUUCCAUCAUGCUCAAUAAAAAAUCAGUUGCUGAUGAUAAAAGUGAAAUAUUUACGGAGGGCGCCCGCAUUGGAACUCCGGGCCAUGACUACAAGAGGUUUCACACAGAAAGAUUUCAUGUUAGUUGCAGACUCGACGAGAGGAUUAUAUACAUUCUGAGAAAGGUGAUAAAUCGCAGAAUCAAGAUAUGUCUGCACACGGACAUUACACCUGAUCCUAUUCAAACCUUGACUCUCAAACAACCGAAUCAGAAGACUAACACCGAGCAUUUGGAUGUUUUUAUCUCUCUCUGCCUUCCUUGAUCAUGUCCGGUUUCCAUCUCUCUCUUUAGGUACAGGAUUUUCAUUCUUGCACAGAAUGAGACAGAAACUUUUAACUUUAUCCUGGUAGAUCGUGAUGCUAAGAGGAUUAUUGACAAAAAUCAUUGUAUGAUUUAAGUAAACUCUUGCAAUGUAUCUUAUGUUUGUCAAAAUGCAUUCAGUCUGGUGUGAGAGAAAUCUUUCCUUUAAAGAUUAAGGAUAUCGCUUGCAAGGCAUUAACACUGAAAACACAGAUCAAACAUGACAACUUGCUUUUAAAAAGCACAAUAUUCUUUGCACCAUAUGCUUUUGUGUUCGGACUCAGCAGUUCAGCUAGCUUGGAUGGAUCAGCUACUGCGAUGACUAUUUUAAGUAAUGGUGAUGUGAGUUGUGCUGAAUAUUUUUCAAUUCCAAAAGUACAUAUGAAAUCUAUCAUAAUUAUGAUUUAGUUUUACAUCCUUCUUCCUUUGCUGAGCAAUAUGGUUAAUCUUGCACAACCUGGUGACACACCUGUGUCCGUCAAAUCUUCCAGCAAAAAAAUUAACUUGGAAGUCUGAUAACAGUGAUUUGUUUUCAUGGAGACUGGCCUGCAAUCCAUAUGUUUGGCAUCCUCAAUGAUGCAUCAACUAUUCAUUAGAUUUCUUCUUCAUUUGUUCUCAGUUAUUGUUUUUCUAUCUUUUGUUUUGUGCAUCUGAAUUCCAGUCAGUUCAUCACUCUUGAGCAUUUUUUCUUUUGACAUUUGGUUACUAUUGUUUGCACUUCGUUUGAAUUUAAAUGAAAAACUAUCAGAAGUUUGUUUUA
This is an RNA transcript of Daucus carota subsp. sativus, 3956 nucleotides long. It is a transcript of the gene named serine hydroxymethyltransferase 3, chloroplastic, with no coding region annotated. The record is from RefSeq and is a predicted model, not a curated record. Lineage: Eukaryota; Viridiplantae; Streptophyta; Magnoliopsida; Apiales; Apiaceae. The transcript has 6 exons.